UACGGAGGGGGCUAGCGUUGUUCGGAAUUACUGGGCGUAAAGCGCGCGUAGGCGGACCUGCAAGUCGGGGGUGAAAGCCCGAGGCUCAACCUCGGAACUGCCUUCGAUACUGCGGUCUCGAGUCCGGGAGAGUGAGUGGAAUUCCUAGUGUAGAGGUGAAUUCGUAGAUAUUAGGAAGAACACCAGUGGCGAAGGCGGCUCACGUG
This 206-nucleotide ribosomal RNA is filed under the name uncultured bacterium. Its description in RNAcentral is "partial 16S ribosomal RNA". It matches the Rfam family "Bacterial small subunit ribosomal RNA", at positions 524 to 732 of the family's 1533-position model. The record is from RNAcentral.